Ornithodoros turicata is the source of this 2591-nucleotide long non-coding RNA. RefSeq lists it as uncharacterized. The record is from RefSeq and is a predicted model, not a curated record. The transcript has 6 exons. Lineage: Eukaryota; Metazoa; Arthropoda; Arachnida; Ixodida; Argasidae.
AUUAUUCCGGCAAGCCUCAACCCCCUCCUCCUCCUCCUCCUCUCAUAUAUAGCUAGCGUUCAGGAAAAUCCACGCCUAUGACCCUCAUCUGGUACUGGCCAAUCGCCCUUAGUGGAUAACGGCCAUUUCCCCGAGGAUGAAGAAGAAGAAGAAGAAUCUCCUCGCGCUAGACCUUUUGCUGCUGCUCGAAACGGGCUUCUACUAUCAUGCGAUGCUACCAUCCUCCUUGUCCCGCGUGUGAAGCCGUGGGUCUCAUGAGUCUACUCUGCACGAAACCCUGGCCAAUCGCCCUGUGUGGCUAGUGGCCACUGUACCUAGUGGUGGAAGAAGAAGAAGAAGAAACAGGCUGCUUCGGACGUUUCUAGUGUCUCCUUGCUCCUGCAAAGGAAUCAUUCGUACAGCAGCUCUGCUCUGCUUCGGCGAUCUCGGACGGUUCCCUUUUACCCUGCUCUGCGGCAAUUGCUGGGCAUUGCUUGUGCUCGAGGUGAGGGAGAUUGGCCAGUUCACAGUAAGGAGGAGCAAUGGCUCCUCCCAUAUGCGACCCUGAUCGCUACUGGUCGGCCUCUGUUGAUAUGCUUACAUUUCCACUAGAACAUUUUUUUUUGCAAACGGGUUAGCUAGCAUUCCCGUGGUCCUGAGGCCAACAAACUGUUCAUAUAUUGGCUCCAAGAACCCCAAGGCAUUAAUUCGCAACAUUGAAUUAGUCACCCCUGACUUCCGGGACAUCACAGAGGUCCGGCAAUACGGGAAGGACGGUAUCGUGUGUAGGUCCCGAAACCUGGCAGUUGUCCACGCUUUGUUGUCGACGCUCUGUUUUGGUGGCAUCCCCGUGCAACCCUUCGUUCCACACCAUCUCGCCUGCACGAGGGGCGUCGUGAGAGGCGUCGAGAGGCACUUUCCUGUCUCUGGCGCAGAGUCCUCUUGCUUCUCACCACAUUGAAUCGCUCAGAGAUUUGGGUUCCUGGACUCGCAGGCGGUGGCGCAGAUCCAAUGUGUCCCCAUUUGCUAUUUGUCCAAUCUCUCCUGUCACCUGUCCUGCACGUUUCGCUUGCCAAUGUCCCCCAGCCGGUUGCGCAUCCCGCGCCAGCCUCUGUCCAGGUUCUCAGCAUCUUUCAUUCGGAUGCCAAACAUGCCCCUCUCACUUAUUUGAAAGCAGAGCUUGACACUCACAUGUCUCAGUUUCCCAAUCACCUGGUCAUCGCCACGGACGCAUCUGUCUUUGAGGAACGGGCGGGAGUUGGCAUUGUCAUUCCGUAACUCGACUUGCACAGUCCCGUCCGCCUCCCUGACUACACAACUGUCUUUCACAGUGAGUUUCUAGCCAUGCUCCUUAGCGCUGGUGAGGGUUCCCAUCGCUUUCAAAAUGGCGCUCCUUCUCUCUGACUCUCUUUCUGUGAUUUCAUCCCUUGAGAGCCCUACAAGCCCCUUGCUCGCCACCUUAGUUGCUUUUGCACCUAGCCACAUCUCCCAUCUCCUUGUCACCUGGAUUCCUGGUCACCGCGGUCUCCCGCUCAACGAAGGCGCUGACACCCUGGCUAAUAUGGCACUCUCUGGGCCAAUCCUGGAUGUCCUUCCUCCAAUAGCUGACAUCGUCCGGGCGCGCUACAGACGCUUCCUUUCACUCGCGCGGCGUCGCCCUCCACGUCCUGGCUAUGAACACCUCUUAUUCCGUUGGAAUCCUGAGCACUGUGGCUGCCGUGAGUCCGAAACUUCUGUAACGCGCGCUCGGUGCCUCUCCCUCCCAUUAAACUUCCAUCUUCACCGUGCUGGCCUCGAAUCGGCACCUGCGUGCCCGCACUGCGGUCAAGACGAGACUGUCCAUCACUUUUUUCUUGAUUGCCCCUCCUACGUCACCAUUCGUCGUCGCCUUCUCGUCCCCCCCUCUUCUCUCCAUCGGUGCUCAGCUCUCCUUGACAUCUCUGCUAUCCCUUGGAGCCUCCCAUAAUGGCGUUAGAAACCACGCUGUUCUCCAUAGUAUCAUUUCAUUCAUCUCCAGGUCUUACCGAUUUUAACUCUUUUUUAACAUCUUGUUGACCGCACCUCAGUAGUCCUGGCCAAUCUCCCUAGCGGGUAAGCGCCAUCCCUCUAGAGGAGCAACAACAACAACAACAACACGUAUAGCCAGUGUUUUGAUGCCAGAGCUGACUGAUGGGUGCACAAGGUUCCUUCGUAUGUUCUUCCUUUGAAAAAAUAGACGUGUUUUAAUGCCAGAGCUGACUGAUGGGUGCACACUGUUCCUUCGUAUGUUCUUCCUUUGAAAAAAUAAACGGGUUUUGAUGCCAGAUCUGAGUGAAGGGUGCACAAUAUUCCUUCGUAUGUUCUUCCUUUGAAAAAAUAAACGUGUUUUGAUGCCAGAGUUGACUGAAGGGUGCACAAUGUUCCUUCGUAUGUUCUUCCUUUGAAAAAAUAAACGGUGAGUAUAACUGCAUAUCAGUUGCCCUGCUCCCUGUAGCAGUUUCCUUUCUCUUUGCAGUGUUUUGAUGCCAGAGCUGACUGAAGGGUGCACAAUGUUCCUUCGUAUGUUCUUCCUUUGAAAAAAUAAACGGGUUUUGAUGCCAAAGGUGAUUGGCUCAUUUUCAUCACUAUGUACA